UACGGAGGGUGCGAGCGUUAAUCGGAAUUACUGGGCGUAAAGCGCACGCAGGCGGUUUGUUAAGCUAGAUGUGAAAGCCCCGGGCUCAACCUGGGAUGGUCAUUUAGAACUGGCAGACUAGAGUCUUGGAGAGGGGAGUGGAAUUCCAGGUGUAGCGGUGAAAUGCGUAGAUAUCUGGAGGAACAUCAGUGGCGAAGGCAACUCCCUGGCCAAAGACUGACGCUCAUGUGCGAAAGUGUGGGUAGCGAACAGG
This 253-nucleotide ribosomal RNA is filed under the name uncultured bacterium. RNAcentral describes it as "partial 16S ribosomal RNA". It matches the Rfam family "Bacterial small subunit ribosomal RNA", at positions 524 to 776 of the family's 1533-position model. The record is from RNAcentral.